CCUGGAUCUGCUCAUUUUAAAGCUCAUUCCAGCUAUUCUGCUGUACUUCCGGAGUAUAAUCUGAUUUAAGGAGUGGAAGAAGAUAAGGCCGUAGAGGUGAGGAACAUGGGACUCUUAGUAACCACACUGCUGACAUUGGAAGAGCCCAGGUUCGCCUGACUGCAAAGUCCAUGCCCUGGCGUAUUAGCCUGCUCGUCUGGAACAACCGCUCAUCAUCCCAUUCUGGAUGCUCCUGUUUAAGCACAUCACACACUCUGUUGUGUUCCCGCAGCCAAAUUGUGGCGUACAUCAUCAGACCAGGCACCAGACCAAAGACCUCCUGGCCCACAGCAAACCGCAGGUGUUCAGGAACAUGAGGAAGGGAAUGUUAUUGACAAUGUUCCAGACUCCCUUGAAGUGGGUAAGUAUGUAGUGCACUGUAUUUGGAGUGGGUUUCAGGAAUAACUUUAUUCUUGUCAGAAAUUCAGCUGCAAAAAAGAAGGAAAAAAAAAAGGAGAGAUUAACAGGACCCAUUAUAAGGUACUAGUUUGUAAAGUGAUAACUGGAUACAUUCCCAGUCCCAAUGAGGGCACCCAAGGGCAAACUUACGUGUUGAACAGUUUUCACCAUAGAAUCCUGUUCGGGUACAGUCACACUUAUACUGGUCAAAUCCUAUGCUCAGGCAUACACCUUGGUUUUGGCAUGGGUUGGAACAGCAAGGAUUUGCUACAAUAAAAGUAAGGACAGUAUAUAAGUCAUUCUUUAGUUUCUUAAUUUUGACUUAAACAUUUAGUUGUUUUACAUACUAUAGGUCAACUUUAUAUUAAUAAAUUCAAGAAACAUACAUGUAGUCAUGGGAAAAGUUUUUUUAACCUGUCACAUACAAUGAUCAUAAUGAAAAUACCAACUCCCAUUCAACAAUAAGGGUAACAAUAUUCAACCACAUUAGUCAUGUUGCUAAGCUUUUUCUUAGUAACAUUUUAGAUGUUCAGCAUUUUUAAGGAGCUCAAAAAAGUAGCACUUUCAAAAUUAAAGGGUAAAUUUAGGGUAAAUUUCAAUGUAAAAACAGCUUGUUUUUAAAAUAUUGAUUCCUAUUCUCUAAUAGUAGGCACCACACACAAACAUUUCACAUACAUUGAUUGUUCCUGUCUUACCGUAAUAACAAUCUGCAAAUUAGUAUCACUAUUCCUAUUUAGCAAGAUGAGAAACGUGAGACCCACACCGGUUAAGUAACUGGCUCAUGAUGAUCAGAGCUUGUAGCAAAAGGUGGGAUAUACACCCAGUUCCCUUGGACUCCAAUGGUGCAACCUCUUUACCAAGUCAAACAUCGUCUCCAUUCCGGGACUGUUCACAGUACCGGGAGGACCCGGGAGGUCAGAGCGGAACCUCGUCCGGGGUUACGGUACCGAGGGUUCCCCGGUGCAGGGAGCCAGACCCACCUGCACGGCAGAGCGCCAGGGCGGCGCAGAACAGCAAGGCGCGGGCAAGCAUCU
Acinonyx jubatus (cheetah) is the source of this 1472-nucleotide long non-coding RNA. RefSeq lists it as uncharacterized. The record is from RefSeq and is a predicted model, not a curated record. The transcript is spliced from 4 exons. NCBI's taxonomy places the organism in Eukaryota, Metazoa, Chordata, Mammalia, Carnivora, Felidae.